AAUGGACGAAAGUCUGACGGAGCGACGCCGCGUGGAUGAAGAAGGCCGAAAGGUUGUAAAAUCCUUUUGUCGAUGAAGAAUAAGCAUGGGAGGGAAUGCCCGUGUGAUGACGUUAGUCGGCGAAUAAGCCCCGGCUAAUUACGUGCCAGCAGCCGCGGUAACACGUAAGGGGCGAGCGUUGUUCGGAAUUAUUGGGCGUAAAGGGCGCGUAGGCGGCCCUGUAAGCUCGGCGUGAAAACCUGGAGCUCAACUCCGGGCCUGCGCUGGGAACUGCGGGACUAGAGUCAUGGAAGGGAAGUUGGAAUUCCAGGUGUAGGGGUGAAAUCUGUAGAUAUUAGGAGGAACACCGGUGGCGAAGGCGGCUGCCUGGACCGAUAUUGACGCUGAGACGCGAAAGCGUGGGGAGCAAA
RNAcentral lists this ribosomal RNA (410 nucleotides) under uncultured bacterium. RNAcentral describes it as "bacterial SSU rRNA". It matches the Rfam family "Bacterial small subunit ribosomal RNA", at positions 370 to 772 of the family's 1533-position model. The record is from RNAcentral.